CAGUCGCCACGGUAAUACGGAGGGAGCUAGCGUUGUUCGGAAUUACUGGGCGUAAAGCGCGCGUAGGCGGUUACUCAAGUCAGAGGUGAAAGCCCGGGGCUCAACCCCGGAACUGCCUUUGAAACUAGGUGACUAGAAUCUUGGAGAGGUCAGUGGAAUUCCGAGUGUAGAGGUGAAAUUCGUAGAUAUUCGGAAGAACACCAGUGGCGAAGGCGACUGACUGGACAAGUAUUGACGCUGAGGUGCGAAAGCGUGGGGAGCAAACAGGAUUAGAGACCCCCGUAGUCCCUGUCUCUUAUAC
This 301-nucleotide ribosomal RNA is filed under the name uncultured bacterium. Its description in RNAcentral is "partial 16S ribosomal RNA". It matches the Rfam family "Bacterial small subunit ribosomal RNA", at positions 509 to 807 of the family's 1533-position model. The record is from RNAcentral.